Molecule: ribosomal RNA, 245 nt
Filed under: uncultured Gemmatimonas sp.
Lineage: Bacteria; Pseudomonadati; Gemmatimonadota; Gemmatimonadia; Gemmatimonadales; Gemmatimonadaceae
Description: partial 16S ribosomal RNA
Rfam family: Bacterial small subunit ribosomal RNA
Source: RNAcentral
UACGGAGGGUGCGAGCGUUGUCCGGAAUCACUGGGCGUAAAGGGCGCGUAGGUGGCGCCGCAAGUCAACGGUGAAAGCUCGGCGCUUAACGCCGAGUCGGCCGUCGAGACUGCGGGGCUGGAGCACUGUAGAGGCUCAUGGAAUUCCGGGUGUAGCGGUGGAAUGCGUAGAGAUCCGGAAGAACACCGGUGGCGAAGGCGGUGAGCUGGGCAGUUGCUGACACUGAGGCGCGACAGCGUGGGGAG